AUACGUAGGGGGCGAGCGUUGUCCGGAAUGAUUGGGCGUAAAGGGCGCGUAGGCGGCCCGGUAAGUCUGGAGUGAAAGUCCUGUUUUUAAGAUGGGAAUUGCUUUGGAUACUGUCGGGCUUGAGUGCAGGAGAGGUAAGUGGAAUUCCCAGUGUAGCGGUGAAAUGCGUAGAGAUUGGGAGGAACACCAGUGGCGAAGGCGACUUACUGGACUGUAACUGACGCUGAGGCGCGAAAGUGUGGGGAGCAAACAGGAUUAGAUACCCUGGUAGUCCACACUGUAAACGAUGAAUGCUAGGUGUAGGGGGUAUCGACCCCUUCUGUGCCGCAGUCAACACAAUAAGCAUUCCGUCUGGGGAGUACGGCCGCAAGGUUGAAACUCAAAGGAAUUGACGGGG
RNAcentral lists this ribosomal RNA (397 nucleotides) under uncultured bacterium. RNAcentral's name for it is "partial 16S ribosomal RNA". It matches the Rfam family "Bacterial small subunit ribosomal RNA", at positions 523 to 918 of the family's 1533-position model. The record is from RNAcentral.